ACUCAAAGGAAUUGACGGGGGCCCGCACAAGCGGUGGAGCAUGUGGUUUAAUUCGAAGCAACGCGAAGAACCUUACCAGGUCUUGACAUCCCACUGACCGGUAUAGAGAUAUACCUUUCCCUUCGGGGACAGUGGUGACAGGUGGUGCAUGGUUGUCGUCAGCUCGUGUCGUGAGAUGUUGGGUUAAGUCCCGCAACGAGCGCAACCCUUGAUCUUAGUUGCCAGCAUUUAGUUGGGCACUCUAAGGUGACUGCCGGUGACAAACCGGAGGAAGGUGGGGAUGACGUCAAAUCAUCAUGCCCCUUAUGACCUGGGCUACACACGUGCUACAAUGGAUGGUACAAAGGGCUGCGAGACUGCGAAGUCAAGCGAAUCCCAUAAAACCAUUCUCAGUUCGGAUUGCAGGCUGCAACUCGCCUGCAUGAAGCUGGAAUCGCUAGUAAUCGUGGAUCAGCAUGCCACGGUGAAUACGUUCCCGGGCCUUGUACACACCGCCCGU
This 499-nucleotide ribosomal RNA is filed under the name uncultured bacterium. RNAcentral describes it as "partial 16S ribosomal RNA". It matches the Rfam family "Bacterial small subunit ribosomal RNA", at positions 899 to 1397 of the family's 1533-position model. The record is from RNAcentral.